GAUGACGCCGGCGGUGUGCCUAAUACAUGCAAGUCGAACGCGUUGGCCCAAUUGAUUGAUGGUGCUUGCACCUGAUUGAUUUUGGUUGCCAGCGAGUGGCGGACGGGUGAGUAACACGUAGGUAACCUGCCCAGAAGCGGGGGACAACAUUUGGAAACAGAUGCUAAUACCGCAUAACAGCGUUGUUCGCAUGAACAACGCUUAAAAGAUGGCUUCUCGCUAUCACUUCUGGAUGGACCUGCGGUGCAUUAGCUUGUUGGUGGGGUAACGGCCUACCAAGGCGAUGAUGCAUAGCCGAGUUGAGAGACUGAUCGGCCACAAUGGGACUGAGACACGGCCCAUACUCCUACGGGAGGCAGCAGUAGGGAAUCUUCCACAAUGGGCGCAAGCCUGAUGGAGCAACACCGCGUGAGUGAAGAAGGGUUUCGGCUCGUAAAGCUCUGUUGUUAAAGAAGAACACGUAUGAGAGUAACUGUUCAUACGUUGACGGUAUUUAACCAGAAAGUCACGGCUAACUACGUGCCAGCAGCCGCGGUAAUACGUAGGUGGCAAGCGUUAUCCGGAUUUAUUGGGCGUAAAGAGAGUGCAGGCGGUUUUCUAAGUCUGAUGUGAAAGCCUUCGGCUUAACCGGAGAAGUGCAUCGGAAACUGGAUAACUUGAGUGCAGAAGAGGGUAGUGGAACUCCAUGUGUAGCGGUGGAAA
This 702-nucleotide ribosomal RNA is filed under the name uncultured Lactobacillus sp. RNAcentral describes it as "bacterial SSU rRNA". It matches the Rfam family "Bacterial small subunit ribosomal RNA", at positions 28 to 687 of the family's 1533-position model. The record is from RNAcentral. Lineage: Bacteria; Bacillati; Bacillota; Bacilli; Lactobacillales; Lactobacillaceae.